AUCAGGAUCCUAUUCAGGAUCCUGUUAAUUUCAGGAUCCUAACAAGAUCCUACAGGAUCCUGCAGAUCCUACAGGAUCCUAUAGGAUCCUGCA
Non-coding RNA from Paramuricea clavata, 93 nucleotides. Lineage: Eukaryota; Metazoa; Cnidaria; Anthozoa; Malacalcyonacea; Plexauridae. The record is from the annotation of a GenBank genome assembly.